RNAcentral lists this ribosomal RNA (427 nucleotides) under uncultured bacterium. RNAcentral describes it as "partial 16S ribosomal RNA". It matches the Rfam family "Bacterial small subunit ribosomal RNA", at positions 355 to 774 of the family's 1533-position model. The record is from RNAcentral.
UGGGGAAUAUUGGACAAUGGGCGAAAGCCUGAUCCAGCCAUGCCGCGUGUGUGAAGAAGGUCUUCGGAUUGUAAAGCACUUUAAGUUGGGAGGAAGGGCAGUAAGCUAAUACCUUGCUGUUUUGACGUUACCGACAGAAUAAGCACCGGCUAACUCUGUGCCAGCAGCCGCGGUAAUACAGAGGGUGCAAGCGUUAAUCGGAAUUACUGGGCGUAAAGCGCGCGUAGGUGGUUUGUUAAGUUGGAUGUGAAAGCCCCGGGCUCAACCUGGGAACUGCAUCCAAAACUGGCAGGCUAGAGUACGGUAGAGGGUGGUGGAAUUUCCUGUGUAGCGGUGAAAUGCGUAGAUAUAGGAAGGAACACCAGUGGCGAAGGCGACCACCUGGACUAAUACUGACACUGAGGUGCGAAAGCGUGGGGAGCAAACA